Molecule: ribosomal RNA, 222 nt
Filed under: uncultured bacterium
Lineage: Bacteria
Description: partial 16S ribosomal RNA
Rfam family: Bacterial small subunit ribosomal RNA
Source: RNAcentral
UGAGCAAUCUGCCCUUCUCAUCGGAAUAAGCGUUGGAAACGACGUCUAAUGCCGAAUACGACCUCCUUUCGCAUGAUCGGAGGUGGAAAGCUCCGGCGGAGAAGGAUGAGCUCGCGGCCUAUCAGCUAGUUGGUGUGGGUAAUGGCCCACCAAGGCGACGACGGGUAGCUGGUCUGAGAGGAUGAUCAGCCACAUUGGGACUGAGACACGGCCCAGACUCCG